CAUAUAGCUCAGUUGGUAGAGCAACAGACUGAAAAUCUGUGUGUCACUGGUUCGAUUCCCGUUAUGGGC
Molecule: transfer RNA, 69 nt
Filed under: bovine gut metagenome
Rfam family: tRNA
About the family: Transfer RNA (tRNA) molecules are approximately 80 nucleotides in length. Their secondary structure includes four short double-helical elements and three loops (D, anti-codon, and T loops). Further hydrogen bonds mediate the characteristic L-shaped molecular structure. tRNAs have two regions of fundamental functional importance: the anti-codon, which is responsible for specific mRNA codon recognition, and the 3' end, to which the tRNAs corresponding amino acid is attached (by aminoacyl-tRNA synthetases). tRNAs cope with the degeneracy of the genetic code in two manners: having more than one tRNA (with a specific anti-codon) for a particular amino acid; and 'wobble' base-pairing, i.e. permitting non-standard base-pairing at the 3rd anti-codon position.
Source: RNAcentral